Cottoperca gobio is the source of this 205-nucleotide long non-coding RNA. RefSeq lists it as uncharacterized. NCBI's taxonomy places the organism in Eukaryota, Metazoa, Chordata, Actinopteri, Perciformes, Bovichtidae. The transcript has 3 exons. The record is from RefSeq and is a predicted model, not a curated record.
UGUCAAUGUGGUUCCCCACCUGGACAGAGAGACAGACAGGCAACAAUUUUCGAGCAGCGUCCUCGGCCAUCAUCAGCAGCGGUCCUGAACAGGGCCAACCGGGCUCAAGGUCCAUCCCUGCACGUCCUGCUAACAGUGUCUCUGUGUUACCUGACAGCAGCCAUCUCCUCCUCAGUGAACUGACGAGCCGCCGCAUCGCUCAGCA